CGUGAGCGGCGGACGGGUGAGUAACGCGUGGGUAACCUGCCUCAUACAGGGGAGUAACAGUUGGAAACGGCUGCUAAUACCGCAUAAGCGCACAGUACCGCAUGGUACGGUGUGAAAAACUCCGGUGGUAUGAGAUGGACCCGCGUCUGAUUAGGUAGUUGGUGGGGUAACGGCCUACCAAGCCGACGAUCAGUAGCCGACCUGAGAGGGUGACCGGCCACAUUGGGACUGAGACACGGCCCAA
RNAcentral lists this ribosomal RNA (244 nucleotides) under uncultured bacterium. Its description in RNAcentral is "partial 16S ribosomal RNA". It matches the Rfam family "Bacterial small subunit ribosomal RNA", at positions 90 to 334 of the family's 1533-position model. The record is from RNAcentral.